UUUCCCUUCUAUGGCAACAUCAAAUUCCCACUCUAACAUGUACUUAAGAACAUUAGGUAUUUUUACCGAUUAUGUCGUUUUACUCGUUUUCACUUAAAAUCGCUUAGCAAAAGUUGUUUAACAUAAUUUCUAGCUUCAUGUUCUAUCAUAAAACAUCAAAAUAAACACUUUUCACCUAUGGGUAUUUUUCCAAAUAUAAACCCUAAGUUAAAUUAUUGCUAGAAUAAGCUAAAUUAAGCUACCGGGAUCUCAAAAACGUAAAGAACAUUAAAAACGGGGCUUGAGAUCACUUACUAUGGAGAUUGGAAGCUUGAAAACCCUAACUAUGGCUCCCCCCUUGCUGAUUUCGUCCUAAUGAAGAAGAUGAUGAUUUUUGCCAUCUUUUUCCCUUUUAAUUCUUUUUAUUACUAGAUUACCAAAUUGCCCCUAACUUAAAAAUUUUCUAUUUCACUUAUUUCAUAUCCAUUUUUGUCUACCAAGUUACCAAUGGUCUAAUUACCAUAUAAGGACCUUAAAUUUAAAGUUUCAUAACAAUUGGACACCUCUAACAUGUAGAACUCAACUUUUUCACUUUUUACAAUUUAGUUUUUUUGACUAAAUUGAGUGCCCAAACGUCGAAAUUUUCGAACGAAAUUUUCACGAAAUCAUUUUGUGAAAUCAUAGACCAUAAAAAUAUAAGAAAAAUAAAAUUUACUCAUCAGAUUUGUGGUCCCGAAACCACUGUUCCGAUAAUCUUAAAUUUAGGCCAUUACAACUCUCCCCCCAUUUUUGGAUUUUCGUCCUCGAAAAUCUUACCAGUAACACUUUCACUAGAUUUACCUUUUUGUUUCUAAGCUCCUUUGUUUCUCGUGCUAGGAUUUUAACCGGCUCUUCACUAUAAGUCAUAUCCGGCUGAAUUUCUAUUUCUGUUGGAGUAAUAACAUGUGAAGGAUCUGAUCGAUACCGCCGAAGCAUAGAUACAUGAAAAACAUUAUGAAUUCUAUCGAGUUCCGGUGGUAAAGCCAAUCGAUACGCAACCGGUCCAAUUCUUUCUAUGAUUUCAUAUGGUCCGAUAAAUCUUGGACUCAAUUUACCCUUUCGACCGAACCGAAGAACUUUCUUCCAAGGAGACACUUUUAAGAAUACUUUAUCACCCACCUGAAAUUCAAUCUCUUUUCGUUUAAGAUCGGCAUAUGACUUCUGACGAUUGGAAGCUGCUUUUAGACUAUCCUGAAUCAACCUUACUUUUUCUUCUGCUUCCCGGAUCAAAUCAACCCCGUGUAUCUUCUUUUCACUUAGCUCUGUCCAAUAUAACGGUGUUCUACAUUUUCUACCAUACAAAGCUUCAUAUGGAGCCAUUUUAAUACUGGACUGAUAACUGUUAUUGUAAGCAAAUUCAAUCAAAGGUAGAUACCUUUCCCAAUUACCUUGAAACUCUAAUACACAACAUCGGAGCAUAUCUUCCAAUACCUGAAUUACACGCUCAGAUUGACCAUCUGUCUGAGGAUGAAAUGCAGUACUGAAAUGCAACUGAGUACCCAAAUCUUCUUGCAAUUUGUCCCAGAAACGAGACGUAAAUCGAGGAUCUCUAUCUGAUAUAAUGGAGACUGGCACUCCAUGUAGUCUGACAAUCUCAGAUAUAUACAAUUCAGCCAAUUUAUCUAAAGAAUAAUCCAUACAUACCAGAAUAAAGUGCGCGGACUUUGUCAAUCGAUCGACAAUUACCCAAAUGGCAUCUUUCUUCUUUGGAGACAUCGGUAACCCAGAUACAAAAUCCAUAGUGACUCUUUCCCAUUUCCAUUCCGGUAUAGUGAUUGGUUGAAGUAACCCCGAAGGCACUUGAUGUUCAGCUUUAACUUGUUGACAUACUAAACACUUUGAUACAAAUUCAGAGAUAUCACGUUUCAUACCUGGCCACCAAUACAUCUUUUUCAAGUCAUUAUACAUUUUAUUACUCCCCGAAUGUACAGACAUAGUACCGCUGUGGGCCUCGUGUAGAAUCUUCUGUAUAAGCUCGGAAUUCUUCGGUACACAUACUCUGCCUUUGAAUAAUAAACAACCAUCAGUCCCAGUCUGAAAUUCUGAAUCAUUAUCGGAUUCACAAUGUACCCGUUUAGCCUGUAACUUCUCAUCAUUUCUCUAAGCUUCACAAAUUUGUUGACGAAAUAUCGAUUUCGCUCUCAUUUCAGCUAUGAUUAAACCAUCAUCAGCCAGUGACAACCGGGCAUUCAUAGCUCGUAAAGCAAACAGAGAUUUCCGGCUCAAAGCAUCAGCUACCACAUUAGCCUUACCCGGAUGAUAAUCAAUAACCAAAUCAUAAUCCUUUAUCAAUUCAAGCCACCUGCGUUGUCUCAAAUUCAAAUCUUUCUAUGUCAUCAAAUAUUUCAAGCUUUUGUGAUCAGUAUAAAUAUGACACUUUUUACCAUACAAAUAAUGUCGCCAUAUUUUCAAUGCAAAUACAAUAGCAGCUAACUCGAGAUCAUGUAUCGGGUAAUUUCUUUCAUGUGGCUUAAGUUGUCUUGAAGCAUAGGCUAUUACUUUAUCUUCUUGCAUCAAGACACAACCCAAACCAUUUAAUGAUGCAUCACUAUAAAUAAUAAAUUCCUUACCCGAUUCAGGCUGUACCAACACUGGUGCUUCCGUCAACAAUUUCUUCAAUCGGUCAAAACUUUGCUGGCAUUUUUCUGUCCAUUCAAAUUUAACAUCUUUCUGUAAUAAAUGGGUCAUCGGAGAAGCUAUCAUAGAAAACCCCUGUACAAAUCUCCGAUAAUAUCCAGCUAAUCCCAAGAAACUUCUAACUUCAGAUACAUUCUUCGGUGGACUCUAAUUGACAAUGGCUGAAAUUUUACUCGGAUCUACCCUGAUGCCUUCUGCAGAUACAAUAUGUCCAAGAAAACCUACCUCUCAAAGCCAAAAUUCACAUUUACUAAAUUUAGCAUAAAGCUUCUUUUCACGCAGUGUAACAACCCGGUUUUGACUCUAAUCGGAUAUAGUGGUUUCGGGACCACAAGUCCGAGUCAAAAAAAUAUUUUAAUAUUAUUUUGUGUGUUUAUUAUGUGUGAAUUUAAUUGUGUGAAAUUUUCGAGUUUUAAUUUUGUCGUUUGAGUGUCCGGUUAAAUAAAAGGAUUAAAUUGCUUAAAAUAAAAAUUCAGGGGUUAAAUCUAAAAGUACCUAAUUGUUGUUGUCUUUUUAAAAUAGGGGAUUUAUGAUGCAAUUAGACUAAAACAUAGAUAGUGGGUGGCAAAGGACUAAUAUAACCUUAUUAUAUAUGUUUUGUUUAUUAAUUAUUAAAGGUUAUUUUAGUAACUAAAAUAAAUGAUAGUAUAUGCUAAAAAAUAAUAAUAAAGCCAUUUUAUCAUCUUUUCUAGCCGAAUUUGAACAAAAGAAAAAAAAAGGAAGAAAGCUAGCUAGGUUCGGCCAUUGUUGUGUUUAAAUUUAAGGUUAGUUCUUUGUUCGGUUUUUGAUAAUUUUUAUGUUUUUGAGAUCGAUGCUUCGAAUACUUUAAAACCCAUGUAUUAAUUUUGUGAAUUGUUGAUGAUUUUGAAAUGUGCCAUUGAUGAAUGUUUGAGUUUUGUGAUGUUAGUUGAUGAAAUAUGAAAUAUAUGUGUUAGAUUAACAUGUUUUGUCUUUGAAUUUUUAGUGAAUUUGAGUAAUUAGAGUUAAAUUGUGAAAAUAAAAUUUUGAGGGACUAAAAUAUGAAAUAAAUGCAAUGUGUGGACUUGUAUGAGAACCAUGAAUAUUCGGCUUUUGUGUGGUAUGGGCAAAUUUUGUGUAUUUUGUGUUUUGUGCAAAAAGGACUAAAUUGCAAAAAGUGCAAAAUGUUAGGGGCAAAAUGGUGAUUUUCCCAUUUAUGUAUUUUUGAACUUAAUUGAAUGUUUUGAUGAAUAAAAAGGUUAAAUUUGAUUAUGUUUAGAUCAAGAAACAAAGAAAACGAAUUUGGAUCGGGGAAAAACGAAAGUAAUCGAAUAGUCGAUCGUGUCCGCUGAUAUCCGAGGUAAGUCUGUUAGCAAAAAUUCAUGUUAUCAAAUCAAUAUAUAUAAGUAUAUUUAUUUUAUAAUUAAUGAGUUAUAAUUACAAGUAUACAAUUUAUGUUAGUUGAUGUGUGAAUUUCAUACAUAUACAUGUGAUGUUCGAAUAGAUAUGUAAGUAAAAGUAAAAAUUUUUGGAUCCAAUUAAAAGUUCAAAUGUUAUGGUUGUGUUUAUAUAAUGUGCGAAUAUAUAUAUGUGUGUAAUAUAUAUAUGUGGAUCGAACAAGUUUGCAUAUACAUGUAUGAUACUUUAUAUGGAUUUGGGAAUGAAAUUAUGGAUGUAUAUAUAUUAGAUUCGAAUAUGUAUGAGUAUACAAAUAUAAAUUCAUGCUUUGAUUAUGAGGACGUAAUUAUACAUGUAUAUGAUAGACUCAAAAAUAUAUAUAUAAAUGUAUUCGGUUGAAUCAUUGAAUUUUUAAGUUUGGAAUUGGUGAAUUGAAUCAGGUUAUAAACCUAGCAGGCUAAGUGCCGGUGAUUUGAAUCAGGCUAUAAGCCUAGCAGGCUAAGUGCCGGUGAUAUGAAUCAGGUUAUAAACCUAGCAGGCUAAGUGCCAGUGAUCUGAAUCAGGCUAUAAGCCUAGCAGGCUAAGUGCCGGUGAUCCGAAUAUGAUGAAUUAAGUGAUUCUAAGCAUUUGGUAUAAAUAUAGAUAUGAUUUUAUAUGAAAUGGAUGAAUGUAUGAACAUUGUUUCAAGAUGUUGAUGAGUAUAUAAUUGUUCGAAUCUUUGUGAUUAGUGAGUAUAUAUAUAUCUCGGAUGUCAUGAAAAUUGUUGGAUAUUAAUGUGUGCAUAUUUAGGCAUUCGGCAUAGGUGGAUAUAUAUUUGUAUGCAUUCGGCAUAGAUAGAUAUAAGUGUAUAUAUGUAUGCAUUCGGCAUAGGUGGGUAUAAGUGAAUAUGUGCAUUCGGCCUUUAUAGUUUAUAAGUAUAAAAAUUAUGCUUUUGGUGUAUGUAAUUGAACAAUUAUAUAUAUAAAUGGAUCCGAUGAAGUACGAACAACAAGUACUCUAGAAAUCUGUAUAUGCAGAUAAUGAUUAUGUUAGUAAUUUGAUUUUAUGCAUAUAAUGUAUAUACCUUUGUCCGUUUAUGUAUAUUAGUUAAAUAUACAUUCUUUUAGAUUUAAACGAAAUGACUUAAUAUAGAAAUGUUUGGUUAGUAAUUAUAUUUGAUAUUUGUGAUUUCGAUAAAUUUACUUAAAUAAUUAUGUGAUUCUUUUAUAUGUAUUUUUAAAUACGCUAUAGACUUACUAAGCUAUAAAAGCUUACUUUGGUUAUCUUUGUCUAUCUAUUCUUAUAGAUUUUGGAGACGCGUUACGAGCUCGAGGAUCAUCAGCAUGGUCUAUCACACUAUCGACCGUCUUUAGUAUUUUAUAUAUUUUGAACUCGAACCUAUGGCAUGUAUAGUCUAGUUAAUAUGUUUAAAUUUUUUUGAUAUGUGAAUAUGAGCCAUGCGAAAAUGGCUUGUCUCUUUUCGUUUUGAAUUUGGUAUUAACGAAUAUGUUUUAAUGGUCUAUUUCCUAUGCUUAAAUUCGGUUUAGUUAAAAAUGGCUUGAUCAUUAUGUUUAAACUUAGUUUUAUAUAUUCUAGGUUGAAUGUUCAAUGUGAUUGAUUUAAAUGAUUCGACCAUGGUAUAAGUCUAUUUGUAUAAAUGAUAAUUAGUAUGAUUGAUAAUUUGAUUAUAUUUCUUGAUUGGUUACAUCAUGAAUAAAUUAUGAAUUAGUUUGUAUUAGUAAGUUUGAAACAUAGUAAAAAUGCUUGUAAGUUUUUAUUAAACAAUUCGGCUAAAGAGUAUGAAAGAACAUAAUGUACAUUUGAUCAUGAUCUAACCUUAAUUUGAAGUGGUGUUUAUGCUGUAAAUUAGUUAAGGGAUGAGUUUCGGUUGUGCUAUGAUAUUGAAUUGACGGAUAUGUAUGUUUUGUAUUAAUAAUUGGUGUGGAUAAAAAAAAUGGUUGUGUUGUUCGGUAAUGCCUUGUAAUCCUAAUACGGCGACGUAUACGGGUUAGGGGUGUUACACGCAGAAUUUGCAACACUAUUUUCAAAUGUUCUGCAUGCUCAUUUUCAUCUCGAGAAUAGACUAAAAUAUCAUCAAUGAAAACUACUACAAACCUGUCUAGAUACAGUCUGAAUAUCCUGUUCAUCAAAUCCAUAAAUACUGCAGGUGCAUUAGUCAGCCCAAAUGGCAUAACCAGAAACUCAUAAUGCCCAUACCUGGUUCUGAAAGCUGUCUUUGGCACAUCUGACUCUUUUACCCGUAACUAAUAAUAACCAGAUCGGAGAUCAAUCUUCGAAAAUACUGUGGCACCUUUCAACUGAUCAAAUAAGUCAUCAAUUCGAGGCAACAGGUACUUUUUCUUUAUAGUUACCUUAUUAAGCUGCCGAUAGUCGAUACACAAUCUCAAAGACCCAUCUUUUUUUUUCACAAACAGAACCGGAGCACCCCAAGGUGAAUGACUCAGACGAACAAAACCUCUGUCAACAAGUUCCUGUAACUGUGCCUUUAACUCUUUUAAUUCUGUAGGAGCCAUACGAUAUAAAGCUAUAGAAAUUGGGGCAGUUCCCGAAAUCAGAUCUAUGGAAAAUUCCACUUCUCUUUCCGGUGGAAACCCUGGUAACUCCUCUGGAAACACAUCAGAAAAUUCACAUACAACUGGCACUGCCUGUAUCUUUGACUCAGAUACCUUAGUAUCCAACACAUACGCCAAAUAAACAUCAUACCCUUUUCUGACACACCUCUGAGCAGUCAUAACUGAAAUCAUAUCAGAUAAUCCCUCUGUCUGAUUAGAUUUAACCCGAAGUAAUUCUCCAUUUUGGCACUUCAACACAACAUAUUUUUGUUUACAAUUUACUACUGCAUCAUGUUGAGUUAACCAAUCUAUGCCCAAUAUUACAUCAAACUCAUCAAAAGGUAAUAACAUCAAGUCAACCGGGAAGCAAAUAUCUUUUACCAUCAGUGGACAAUUUUUACAAACUUUAUCCACCAUCACAAACUGGCCCAGGGGGUUCGAGACUUUAACCACAAAUUUAGUAGGUUCAACAGAUAAAUUUUUAACAAAUGCUAAUUUUGUGCAUAUGUAUGAAUGUGUAGAGCCAGGAUCAAUUAAUGCAAUAACAGUAGUAUUAUAGAGAGAAAAUGUACCCGCAAUUACAUCAGGAGAGGACGCCUCUUCACGAGCUCGAAUAGCAUAUGUUCUCGCGAGUGCUCUAACAUCGGGUCUAGCUGCUGAAUCUCUGGAUGCACUCCUGCUACUCACUCUCAGUCCUGGGUUUCUCUGCGGUCUACCUCUGGUAGGAGCAUUUCCUGAUCUUGCACUCAUUAUUUCUUCCCUUUUUGUUGUUUCAGGACAAUCCCGGAUAAAGUGAUCGGACGCUCCACAUCUAAAACAAACAUUUUCACCUGCUCUACACUCUCCGAGGUGGCGUCUACCACAUUGAGGACAUUCCGACCUAGGAGGUCGAGUACUGCCUGUACUUGCAACUGUAGUGGUUUGAGCUCUAAAACCCUCGAAUCUUCUACUUCUACUUCGGCCAGAAUAUCUAUCUGGAAAAUGUGAUCCGCUAGAGAGCUCCCUAGAUCUCUUAGACGUAGACUGAAAUGAUUUACUCAUUUGCCUCUUCUUUGUAUCCUGCGUUUCGGCUUCAGCUUUGCUCUUCUCUUUUUCUUUUAACAAGUCUUCUACUUUACAAGCUCUUUCUACCAGAACAACAAACUCUCUGAUUUCCAAUACACCCACUGAUAGUCGGAUAUCAUCAUUAAGCCCAUCUUCAAAUCUCUUGCACAUGUUGGCUUCGGUGGAUACAAAUUCCCGGGCAUACUUACUAAGUCUGACAAAUUCACGUUCAUACUCAGUCACGGACAUCUUACCUUGUUUUAGCUCAAGAAACUCCUUCCUUUUCUGAUCUAUAAAUCUCUGGCUGAAGUACUUCUUUCUGAACUCCUCCUGAAAGAAAUCCCAGGUCACCCUCUCACUCGGUACUACUGACACGAGGGUCUUCCACCAAUGGUAAGCUGAAUCUCUGAGAAGUGAGACCACACACUUCAUACAUUCUUCCGGUGUACAAGAUAAUUCUUCAAAAACCCUGAUAGUAUUCUCAAGCCAGAAUUCUUCUUUUUCUGCAUCAUUAUCUUUCGUAGCCCGAAAUUCUUCAGCCCCUUGCUUCCUAAUCUUAUCAACAGGUGGUCUCUCCCUGAUGACUAUACCUGCAGCUGGGGAAACUACAUGGGGAACCUAUGAAUCUUGAGGGGGUGGAGGUCUUACAGCAGGAUUCGUACGAACGAACUCGGCAAACCAAUCAUUCAUGACUUGGAAGAAGGCUUCUCUAGCUCCUCCUCUAGCUCCUCCUCCCUGUCUAACUGAUGCAGGUCUUUCACUAACAUUAACAUCUAGUGGCAUCGUCCCUUCUGCGGAAGCAGGCGCAUUACUUUCUACUUCAUCUGUACCAGCUCGUUCAGGAUCCAUAACUAUAAAAGAAAACAUUUUAAAAUCGUCAGGAGUCGUCACACUAUCAAAAUAUAUAAGUAUGGCAUGUAUAGGUAGACUCUUAUUCAUACUGCGUAUUUUCGAGAACCGACUAAACCUGUUCUGAUACCAAAAUUGUAACACCCUUUACCCGAUACCGUUGCCGGAAUCGAGCACGACGCAUUACUUAGCUUAUCUUACUAAUUCGGAGCAUAAAAACUUAGUUUGAAAAUUUAAUUCACUAUUUACCAAAAUUGUAACACCCCUUACCCGAUACCAUUGCCGGAAUCGAGCACGAGGCAUUACUUAGCUUAUCUUACUAAUUCGGAGCAUAAAAACUUAGUUUGAAAAUUUAUUUCACUAUUUACAGUAAAUCUGUCCAAUCACACAGUAGUUACAAAAUUAAGUAUAACUCGAGCUACGGAACUCGAAAUUUAAUUUCGUAAAUUUUUCCUGAAACUAGACUCAUAUUUCUACUUACCAUAAUUUUUUUAGAAUUUUUGGUUUAGCCAAUUAGUACAGUUUAUUAGUUAAAGUCUCCCCUGUUUCACCACCUGCCUGUCCUGACCUCUUGUCACUAAAAAUAAGUUUUCUCACUGUAGGAUUUUCAUAUGAAGUUCUUACUUGUUUUUACAGAAAAUAGACUCAAUAAGGAAUCUAUACAUAUAAACUAAAACUUAUAAAUAUUUUUGUACAAUUUUUAAUGAUUUUCUAAACUCAAAACAGGAGACACCAAAAACUGUUCUGACUCUGUCUCACCAAAAUUCACAUAUCUUAAAAUAUAAAAUUCCUUUUGCUACACCGUUAUUUUUCCAUGAAAAUAGACUCAACAAGAUUUAUUUUCAUAUAUCAUUCACCCUCUAAUUCAUUUUAUACUAUCCUAGUUUAUUUUUCAAAGUCACGUCAUUGUUGCUGCCUGAAUUCUGUUUCUUUGCAAAAUUUUACCCUUUUAUGAUUUUCAUGCAUAGUUUACCCCCCUAGACUUUUUAUAACAACAAACACUUUCAUACUUAACCAUUUUAGCAACCAUUCAUCAUCAAAUACUUACACAUCAUUCUUUAGCAAAAUCAUAAUUACAAACAUGCAAAAUAACUAAAUCCCUAUACAUGCCAUAACUUAAACAUGUUUCAUCAUAAAAUACCGAGUAGUUUUUCUUGAUAGUGUGGACGAUCUCCGACUUCUUUAGGAUCCUUGAAGUAGCCUUGUAAUACUAUAAGAGAAAGAGAAAUAAAAGACGUAAGCAUAAAGCUUAGUAAGUUUACUAGCAAAUAAAUAACAAUAUUUAACACAAAUAAUUAAACUCAAGUGUCUAUAUCUCUAGUUUACUCUUUAGUUAAUCUCAUUCUAGUUCUCUUGCUUAUUUACUUGGAAUACUUGUGUGCAUAACUUACCCUUCUCUUUCUGCAUCGUUGAAUAUCAAUUGAUAAUAUAAUAAGUUCUUAAUUCUUAUAACUUACCUGAGCUUGCCAUUUAUGUUUUUAACUGAACUUUCCUGAACAUGAUUCGUUUAUUGGCCCGUCGAGUUACAUUGGAACAAUAAGGAUACUCGGGUCUCUUCUGGUAAAAAUAUGCCAAAGCCAUGUCCCAGACAUGGUCUUACAUGGGAUGUACUCAUGUCGGUGCCCAUGCCAUGUCCUAGACAUGGUCUUACGGGGGACCUAUCAUCUUGGUGCCAAUGCCAUGUCCCAGACAUGGUCUUACACGGGACCUCUCAUCUCGGUGCCAAUGCCAUGUCCCAGACAUGGUCUUACACGGGACCUCUCAUCUCGGUGCCAACGCCAUGUCCCAGACAUGGUCUUACAUGAGACCUCUCAUGAUCUCAAGGAUGCCUAUACCAUGUCCCAGACAUGGUCUUACAUGGGAUCUCUUUACCCAAAUGUCAUGACAUUUGUAUCCAAUACUAUUCUUAUGUAUCAACGGGACUUUUUAAUUUUUAUUCUCUACCAUUUCAUGCUUGGGUCAUCAUCAAAUAAAUUCAUGAAAUAAUAUAUAAUUACUGAAAAUUAACAACAUUAAUAAUGAUUAUUAAAAUCUUGCAUUUAUUUACUGUAAACUUACCUCGGUACCAAUAUAGCCCAAUUCAUCAACUUAGUCUUCAACUUUAUUCUUUCCUUUGUCUAACCUCGAGUUUCGUUCUUCUUGAUCUAAAAUAGCAAAUUUAACUCAUUUAAUACUCACAUUUAUCAAAACAGCCCUCGACUCUAACUUUUUCAAAAUUACAAUUUUGCCCCUAAACUUUUGCAUAAUUACAUUUUUGCCCCAAGGCCCGGAAAUUAAACUUCAUCCCUUAUUCUUAUGUUUUAUGACAUGCUGAACAUUUUUCCCUUCUAUGGAAACAUCAAAUUCCCACUCUAACAUGUACUUAAGAACAUUAGGUAUUUUUACCGAUUAUGUCGUUUUACUCGUUUUCACUUAAAAUCGCUUAGCAAAAGUUGUUUAACAUAAUUUCUAGCUUCAUAUUCUAUCAUAAAACAUCAAAAUAAACACUUUUCACCUGUGCGUAUUUUUCCAAAUAUAAACCCUAGGUUAAAUUAUUGCUAGAAUAAGCUAAAUUAAGCUACCGGGAUCUCAAAAACGUAAAGAACAUUAAAAACGGGGCUUGGGAUCACUUACUAUGGAGCUUGGAAG
RNAcentral lists this long non-coding RNA (11084 nucleotides) under Gossypium barbadense (sea-island cotton). RNAcentral's name for it is "long non-coding RNA (GBAR_LNC015365)". The record is from RNAcentral. Lineage: Eukaryota; Viridiplantae; Streptophyta; Magnoliopsida; Malvales; Malvaceae.